CAUGCAAGUCGAACGCUCCGCAAGGGGAGUGGCGCACGGGUGAGUAACGCGUGGGAACCUGCCCAGGGGUGGGGGAUAACCGGUGGAAACGCCGGCUAAUACCGCAUACGUCCUAUGGGAGAAAGAUUUAUCGCCCUUGGAGGGGCCCGCGUCGGAUUAGCUAGUUGGCGGGGUAACGGCCCACCAAGGCGACGAUCCGUAGCUGGUCUGAGAGGAUGAUCAGCCACACUGGGACUGAGACACGGCCCAGACUCCUACGGGAGGCAGCAGUGGGGAGUAUUGGACAAUGGGGGCAACCCUGAUCCAGCAAUGCCGCGUGAGUGAUGAAGGCCUUAGGGUUGUAAAGCUCUUUCGGCGGGGACGAUGAUGACGGUACCCGCAGAAGAAGCCCCGGCUAACUUCGUGCCAGCAGCCGCGGUAAUACGAAGGGGGCAAGCGUUGUUCGGAUUUACUGGGCGUAAAGGGCGCGCAGGCGGCCCCUCAAGUCAGAUGUGAAAGCCCCGGGCUCAACCUGGGAACUGCAUUUGAGACUGAAGGGCUCGAGUUCGGGAGAGGAUGGCGGAAUUCCCAGUGUAGAGGUGAAAUUCGUAGAUAUUGGGAAGAACACCGGUGGCGAANGCGGCCAUCUGGACCGAGACUGACGCUGA
This 647-nucleotide ribosomal RNA is filed under the name uncultured bacterium. Its description in RNAcentral is "bacterial SSU rRNA". It matches the Rfam family "Bacterial small subunit ribosomal RNA", at positions 54 to 749 of the family's 1533-position model. The record is from RNAcentral.